CGUGUAGGCGGUUCGGUAAGUGGAAUGUGAAAUCCCCCGGCUUACCCGGGGAACUGCAUCCCAUACUGCUGGACUUGAGUGCGGGAGAGGAUGGAGGAAUUCCUGGUGUAGCGGUGAAAUGCGUAGAUAUCAGGAGGAACACCUGUGGCGAAGGCGUCCAUCUGGCCCGUUACUGACGCUGAGGCGCGAAAGCUAGGGAGCAAACG
Molecule: ribosomal RNA, 206 nt
Filed under: uncultured bacterium
Lineage: Bacteria
Description: partial 16S ribosomal RNA
Rfam family: Bacterial small subunit ribosomal RNA
Source: RNAcentral